This 240-nucleotide unclassified non-coding RNA is filed under the name soil metagenome. RNAcentral describes it as "partial contains 5.8S ribosomal RNA, internal transcribed spacer 2, and large subunit ribosomal RNA". The record is from RNAcentral.
AACGCACGAGACCUGCGGACCUGCGGAGGGAUCAUUAACAAAUUCCAACACUCGUGUUGGUCAGCUGUGUCGCUCGCCCUCUGCGCUCUUUCAGAGCACAAGAGAGCAGCGCGCGCUGGCCGUAUAACACAAACACAACAACACAAACAUUCAUACUUGACAUCUCAUGGAGAACCAUAUCUAGAGGAGAUAAUGAUAUCAUCAUCGCUAUCGUUGUCAUCGUGCAUAUGAUGGAGGCGA